This 1982-nucleotide unclassified non-coding RNA is filed under the name Leishmania donovani. Its description in RNAcentral is "gene:LdHU3.04.1190(CDS-product:60S_ribosomal_prot ein_L10_putative)". Lineage: Eukaryota; Euglenozoa; Kinetoplastea; Trypanosomatida; Trypanosomatidae. The record is from RNAcentral.
UAAGGAAGCUCGUCCCUGUCUCGAACAGCACCUUCGCCAAGGGCCCCAUCUCGCAACCAGUCGCCAGCAUGGCCCGCCGUCCGUCCCGCUGCUACCGGUUCUGCAAGAACAAGCCGUACCCGAAGUCGCGCUUCUGCCGUGGUGUGCCGGAUCCGAAGAUCCGCAACUUCGACAUUGGCCGACGUCGCGCCACCGUCGAUGAGUUCCCGGUGUGCAUCCACGUCGUGUCCCGCGAGCUGGAGCAGAUCGCGUCCGAGGCGCUGGAGGCUGCCCGCAUUCAGGCCAACAAGUACAUGGUGAAGCGUGCCAACAAGGACGUGUUUCACAUGCGCACCCGCGCCCACCCCUUCCAUGUGCUGCGCAUCAACAAGAUGCUCUCGUGCGCCGGCGCCGAUCGUCUGCAGACCGGCAUGCGUGGUGCCUUCGGUAAGCCGAACGGCGUGUGCGCUCGCGUCCGCAUUGGCCAGAUCCUGCUGUCCAUGCGCACCAAGGAGGCGUACGUGCCGCAGGCCUUCGAGGCCCUGCGCCGCGCCAAGAUGAAGUUCCCCGGCCGCCAGAUCAUCGUCAUGUCCAAGUACUGGGGCUUCACCAACAUCCUCCGCACCGAGUACGAGGCUCUGCGCGACGCCGGCAAGCUCGAGCAGCGCGGUACCCACUGCAAGCUGAUCGCCCCCAAGGGCAAGAUCACGAUGCGCAACGUGAUGGCGUAAGCUCUCGCAGCAGCGUGAAACGCGUGGGGAAACGGGUGCGUGCGUGUGUGUGCUACGGCGGCGUCCUCGUGACAUAGGGAGGGAGAGGCCACCAGAGGUGCGUGACUGGAUGGCUUCGCCGGCGUGUGCGCGCAGGCGUGUGUCUGCGUACGCCUCGCCGUACCCAUCGAGUCCCCCCCCCCUCUCUCUCCGUCAGCCGGAUGCGUGUCUGUGGGUUCGCCGCACCGCGCGUACUUCCCUUAUGGUAUGAUGAUUUAUCUUUUCUUUGUUUGUAUGCGUGUGUUUCCAGGGAUUCGAAACCGCGGGUGAUGAUCGAAACGCACGACCGCGAUGGAGAGGACGGGUGGAGCCUCUGCCACCCCCCUCCAUCGUCCGCCGCCGCUAAAGGUAGACCGCCGCAGAUUCUCCGGACCCGAGCAACGCCCCUACGACACCAAAUAACAGGCAUCAACCCAAGGGCACAUUCGCAACACCCCGCGGCAGCAGCGACAGCAAACAGAGAGGGGAAAGGCGGCAUUGGUGCGUGUGGGGAGAAGCCCCCUUUGCCUGCUGCUGCUGCUGCUCGGCUUUCGGCGUAUCCUCCUUCCCACGCCCUCGUCACCCCUUUACUUCACGUCGGCAUGUGGCCGCACACGAUGGACACACACACACACGUGUCGGUGUUUGUGGAGGGCAUGCGCGUGCGUGCGUACGUGUAUUCUGUGCACGUGCGUCCACGUCUUCUGAACCACCUCGUGCCCUUAUCCGCUCUCUCCCCACUUGCUGACUGCACCUCGCCUGUUCCUCCCUUCGUUGUCCCGCGCAACCCACCGCACACCACACGCGCUCCUCUUCUCGAUAUGCGCCUCAGCGGCGAGAACAAAAAAAAAAACAAAGCAGGCACGCACCAACAGCGGAAGCGAGGCGUCGACGAGGAAUACGCUACCAGGACUCGACGCGUUGGUGUCUGUGUGUCUGUGUGGAUUUCGGUACUUCGUAGUCGCUAACAGAAGCUCUGCGUGCGUGCGUGUAGCCCGUGAGUGCUACUCAGCUUCUCGCUCUUCGAACUGGCGCGCCAAGGCACAAGACGCCUUUCUCCGCCGCCGCGCCCCUCCCUCCCCCCUCCUCUCCCAGAACAUUGCCACGCGCAUGCGUACAGCGCGUCCACGGAGAGACACGGCCGUCCGAGUUUUCUCUCUCUCUCUCUCUGCGUCUUCCUUUGCGAAAACGUCUCGCCCUUCACCGCGCGUCGCACUCUCUCCCUCGGCUCGGCACACCACUGCCCCGUGUUAG